AGGGUCAGUUUGGUAAUUUCAUCGUACAGUUCUUGCAUCAUACCAAACCACCUACACCCCAUCCUCAUUUCUUCAUCCUCUGCACCCAAUUCUCAUCUAACAAACCCUAACCCUCACACCAACUCACCAUCACCUUUCCACCAUUCAUCUCCGGCACCAUCAAAUCUUCUCCACCCUAAUUUCAUCUGAGAUACCCCCAACCCACCAUCACCAUUCCACCCACCAUCUCCGCCAAUAGUAUCCUGGGACACGUGACAAGCCGCGUAUGGCGGCGACUGCACAAGACGAGAGAAGAGAGAGAAACGAAGGCCGUGAGAGAUGAGAAAGAGAAAUCAGAGACGGCGACGAUCCGCCGUCAGCGGCGGAGCCGCGGCGGCGACAACGAUGUUUGGCCGACGAUGUUUACGGUUUCGGGUUUCCGUUCACUCGAGCCUCGGGUCAGCGAUUUCGGUUCAGUCCUCAUCAAGACGACGUGGUGUCUUGGCUCGGUUCAUUUUUUGGACCCUAUCUUGGUUCGGUUCAGGUCAACUCAGCUUUGGUUCGGUUCGACAAGUCAGCAUCGGUCAGCAUUGAUUCGGGUCAGCUUAGGUCUCAGCUCAAGUGCGGGUCUCAGUGCUGCUCGGUUCAACCCGGUUCGACUCGGUAUAACACAAUUGUCCGAAAACGGAGGAAACUUUGUCCGUUAUCAGGCGAAAGUUGCAGCCAAGCGAAUGUUGCUAAACAUGGCUCCAAGUAAGGGAUGCGUGUGGCUUUGGGUGCAACAGUGGUGCUCACUUACUGUUUACUGUUGCACCGCGUGCUUCUAUUUUGGCUACAGAAGUUAAGUGGCUGAAUUCUAUCAAGGCAGACUUAGUGGUUUCAGAUGUUGUUGCAGUUGCUUGUCGUGCAGCGGCUGAUUCUGGUAUACGCUUGGUUUGUGUAACGAAUUUCAGGUUAAAUCAAGCAGAGGGCGGAACGAGAAAGACGCACACAUGGUUAUUUGUUGCUUGUUACAGGUAUUGGCAAUUAGGAGAAGGAGGUGAUGCAACUAAUCUGUCAAUAUGAGGUUCGUUUGCAAAGAUACAUAGCUAUGAAUUUAUAUUCUUAGGACAUGUUGAGCUUGAUUUCUUGAUGGUUGCGUAUGUUAAAGCACCAUGAUAACUUGGUUCUCAGUUGGCAUAACGAAUUCUCGCCAAAGUGAGACCAACAUCUAAUGUCGCGCAACGCGCGAACGGUCGAAUACCCCUAGUUACGUUUACAAGAGUGUUACUUUCUGAUUGUAUUCCCCUUUUAAGAAAUAGUUCUUGAAAUAAAUAUAAAUCAUGAAAUUUUAAGCACAAUAUAGUUUUUUUUGAAGCUUUUAUCUAGUUUAACUUUUUCAUACUAAAUAGAAAAAAAAAACUGAAAUACUCAUUAUAUUGAUUAAAUCUAUUUUAAAGUGAGCCAUUAGAUUAACACAAUCUAUCUAUUAUAUUAAAGCAAAACAAGUUUGACCAUUUGAUCAUGAUGUGGCAUGGCUAUUUAGGCAGAGAAUUGGUGUUUGAGCGGCAAAAUGGAUUUCCUCUGUUUUCCUUCACUUCUGAUGGGCGGCCAAAAAGCUUUUCCUCCAUUUUCCUUCAAUUGUGAAACGGUGUUCUUUAUAUGGAAACACCAAUCAAUCAUCAAUCCCUUCAAAAUUUUCUACAAAUUAUGAAUCCGUUUCCAUUAUUAUCGCUUCAAUAUCUUCUCCUCCAUGGCGCUUUCUUCUUCCUUCUGCUUGAAGCCUAUCUUUUUCCUUCACGGUGCUUUCCUUCUACUUGAACCUCUGCAAUCUGAAGAAAGCAACAACAGAGAGGAUGGUCGAUCUAUGUAUCGAUUCGUGGUUUUGUUUGCCCUAAAUCUAUUCUAUAUGAUUGAAAGCAAGCAUCAAAACCCUAGCACUCAUCAACGUUUUGUUCUGAAUGAAAAAAAUUGAUCAGGGUUAUGUGUGGGUGAGAUUGUCUAGGUUGCUGAGCUAUUAAGAGCAGUGGUAAUGGGAGCUUCGCUUGAAGAUGAUAGACAUCUUGCUCAACCUUAUGACAGGAUGCGACGAGAAGCAGAAGCACAAGAUCAUAAACUUUAGAUAUCUUUUUUGUAAAUGGAUUGCCUGCAAGAUCACGCCACUUCCUCAUUCGUUUGCUUCUUUGAAAUGUCUAAUGAGAUGAUCAAUUUCCAUUAUAUCCCUUCAAACCUUGACAAGGUUAAGGAUUGUCAGGUUGCUGCAGUCAAUGAUCUUUGCUUUUGGCACAGUUGAGCGGUUUCUCAAAGCUUCCGUCAUCCCGUUCUCUUAUCUCACAGAAACAGGGAUAGAUUACGUUGCAACUGACUCAGGAUCCUGCUUUAUCAAGAGGAUUCAUGUCAGCGAGAACGGUUACUGGAUUCUUGGCUGAUGUUUAUAAAACUGCUGCAGAUGAACUCGGAAAAAUACAUAUAAUUGCAGAUGAAAUGGUUCAGGGAGCGGUUUUUGAUCUUCUGGAAGAGAUUGCGAAAGAACUACUAACAAGGACUUGCCACCUGGCAACACUGUUACAAAAAUCACAAAGUUAUCUCUUGGCGACGACGACGAGAAAAGAGGAGGAGCGGGCUCAAGAUUGGAAGAAAGACGAUUCGAAAUGGGAGUUUUCAUCGUCUUCGUUCUGUUCGCCUGAUCUUUUACUCACUGAGUUUGAUCAAGUUUUCUUCGUCGAUGACGACGAGAAAGAGGAAGAGCGGGUUCAAGAUUGGCACAGUUGAGGGGUUUCUCAAAGCCUCCGUCAUCCCGUUCUCUUAACUCACACGAACAGGGAUGGACUACGUUGCAACUGACUCGGGAUCCUGCUUUAUCAAGAGGAUUCAUGUCAGCUAGAACGGUUACUGGAUUCUUGGUUGAUGUUUAUAAAACCGCUGCUGAUGAACUCGGAAAAAUACAUAUAAUUGCAGAUGAAAUGGUUCAGGGAGCGGUUUUUGAUCUUCCGGAAGAGAUUGCGAAAUAGCAACUGAACAAGGACUUGCCACCUGGCAACACUGUUACAAAAAUCACAAAGGUCAACUCAUUUCUUUUUUAUAGAUGAUCCAUGUCAUAGCGAGAGAGAUAUGACUGUUACACAGACUAAUCAGAUUCACCAAUGAUUUGCGAGUCUCAAGCAUUAUCUUUGACAAGUGUUGCAUCAUAAUCUCGCCAAUUAUUGAGAGAGUUGAUACGGUGAACAGAGGAAAGUGAAAGCGAAGAAGAAACCAGCAACAAAAAAGAGAGGCAAACAAGAUCGACAGUUAAGCAGCAGCGAAGAUGCAAUCAACACAUCCCCACUGGUCACUGUUCCCAGCUGCCACUAUUGGUCUACCUGGCUGCAGUGUGUGUGACACCCCAGGUAAACCAGUAAACGAUACAACUUACCUAGCUUCCUCAGUAACCGCAUGCUAAAUUUCGGGACGAAAUUUCUUUCAGGUUGGGGAUAAUGUGAUAACUUAAGUUUCCAAGAUUUCCUUAUUCACAUUUAUUGCGCGUUAACUGUUUAGUUGUUUGAUUUGGUUUGACUUGUAACUGUACACUGAAUAAUAAGAUGAGACAUUUAUUGAUAUA
RNA transcript from Helianthus annuus (common sunflower), 3556 nucleotides. RefSeq lists it as uncharacterized. The transcript has 16 exons. Lineage: Eukaryota; Viridiplantae; Streptophyta; Magnoliopsida; Asterales; Asteraceae. The record is from RefSeq and is a predicted model, not a curated record.